Molecule: ribosomal RNA, 253 nt
Filed under: uncultured bacterium
Lineage: Bacteria
Description: partial 16S ribosomal RNA
Rfam family: Bacterial small subunit ribosomal RNA
Source: RNAcentral
CACGUAGGGCGCAAGCGUUGUCCGGAUUUAUUGGGCGUAAAGAGCGUGUAGGCGGCCAGACAGGUCCGUUGUGAAAACUCGAGGCUCAACCUCGAGACGUCGACGGAAACCGUCUGGCUAGAGUCCGGAAGAGGAGUGUGGAAUUCCUGGUGUAGCGGUGAAAUGCGCAGAUAUCAGGAAGAACACCUAUGGCGAAGGCAGCACUCUGGGACGGUACUGACGCUGAGACGCGAAAGCGUGGGGAGCGAACAGG